Molecule: ribosomal RNA, 606 nt
Filed under: Nocardia transvalensis
Lineage: Bacteria; Bacillati; Actinomycetota; Actinomycetes; Mycobacteriales; Nocardiaceae
Description: bacterial SSU rRNA
Rfam family: Bacterial small subunit ribosomal RNA
Source: RNAcentral
GCUUAACACAUGCAAGUCGAGCGGUAAGGCCCUUCGGGGUACACGAGCGGCGAACGGGUGAGUAACACGUGGGUGAUCUGCCUCGUACUCUGGGAUAAGCCUGGGAAACUGGGUCUAAUACCGGAUAUGACCACAUGUCGCAUGGUGUGUGGUGGAAAGAUUUAUCGGUGCGAGAUGGGCCCGCGGCCUAUCAGCUUGUUGGUGGGGUAAUGGCCUACCAAGGCGACGACGGGUAGCCGGCCUGAGAGGGCGACCGGCCACACUGGGACUGAGACACGGCCCAGACUCCUACGGGAGGCAGCAGUGGGGAAUAUUGCACAAUGGGCGGAAGCCUGAUGCAGCGACGCCGCGUGCGGGAUGACGGCCUUCGGGUUGUAAACCGCUUUCGACAGGGACGAAGCGAGAGUGACGGUACCUGUAGAAGAAGCACCGGCCAACUACGUGCCAGCAGCCGCGGUAAUACGUAGGGUGCGAGCGUUGUCCGGAAUUACUGGGCGUAAAGAGCUUGUAGGCGGUUUGUCGCGUCGUUCGUGAAAACUUGGGGCUCAACCCCAAGCUUGCGGGCGAUACGGGCAGACUAGAGUACUGCAGGGGAGACUGGAAUUC